AUUGAACGCUGGCGGCAUGCCUUACACAUGCAAGUCGAACGGCAGCGGGCCUUCGGGUGCCGGCGAGUGGCGAACGGGUGAGUAAUGCAUCGGAACGUGCCAUUGAGUGGGGGGAUAACGUAGCGAAAGUUGCGCUAAUACCGCAUAUUCUGUGAGCAGGAAAGCAGGGGACCGCAAGGCCUUGCGCUCUUUGAGCGGCCGAUGUCAGAUUAGCUAGUUGGUGGGGUAAAGGCCUACCAAGGCGACGAUCUGUAGUGGGUCUGAGAGGAUGAUCCGCCACACUGGAACUGAGACACGGUCCAGACUCCUACGGGAGGCAGCAGUGGGGAAUAUUGGACAAUGGGCGCAAGCCUGAUCCAGCCAUGCCGCGUGGGUGAAGAAGGCCUUCGGUGUAAGCCUUUGUCCGGUAAGAAAGACAUUCGGUUAAUACCCGGGUA
Molecule: ribosomal RNA, 437 nt
Filed under: uncultured bacterium
Lineage: Bacteria
Description: bacterial SSU rRNA
Rfam family: Bacterial small subunit ribosomal RNA
Source: RNAcentral